ACGUGACUAACCUACCCUCGAGCGGGGAAUAACCUGGGGAAACUCGGGCUAAUACCGCAUAACACCUACGGGUCAAAGGAGCAAUCCACUUGAGGAGGGGGUCGCGGCAGAUUAGCUAGUUGGCAGGGUAAGUGGCCUACCAAGGCGAUGAUCUGUAUCCGGCCUGAGAGGGCGCACGGACACACUGGAACUGAAACACGGUCCAGACUCCUACGGGAGGCAGCAGUGGGGAAUUUUUGGCGCAAUGGGGGGAAACCCUGACGCAGCAACGCCGCGUGGAGGAUGAAGUCCCUUGGGACG
RNAcentral lists this ribosomal RNA (300 nucleotides) under uncultured Acidobacteriaceae bacterium. RNAcentral's name for it is "bacterial SSU rRNA". It matches the Rfam family "Bacterial small subunit ribosomal RNA", at positions 115 to 425 of the family's 1533-position model. The record is from RNAcentral. Lineage: Bacteria; Pseudomonadati; Acidobacteriota; Terriglobia; Terriglobales; Acidobacteriaceae.